RNAcentral lists this ribosomal RNA (106 nucleotides) under Flavobacteriales bacterium. RNAcentral describes it as "partial 16S ribosomal RNA". It matches the Rfam family "Bacterial small subunit ribosomal RNA", at positions 1 to 103 of the family's 1533-position model. The record is from RNAcentral. Lineage: Bacteria; Pseudomonadati; Bacteroidota; Flavobacteriia; Flavobacteriales.
UUUUACAAUGGAGAGUUUGAUCCUGGCUCAGGAUGAACGCUAGCGGCAGGCCUAAUACAUGCAAGUCGAGGGGUAUAGGAGGCUUGCUUCCUAGAGACCGGCGCAC